GGCUGGUCCAAUGCUAGUGGGUUAUCAGAACUUACUAACAUUAGUGUCACUAAAGCUGGUAUACAACCCCCCAACUGCUAAAUUUGACUGGCUAAAA
RNAcentral lists this Y RNA (97 nucleotides) under Propithecus coquereli (Coquerel's sifaka). RNAcentral describes it as "Y RNA (ENSPCOG00000001795.1)". It matches the Rfam family "Y RNA". Rfam says of the family: Y RNAs are components of the Ro ribonucleoprotein particle (Ro RNP), in association with Ro60 and La proteins. The Y RNAs and Ro60 and La proteins are well conserved, but the function of the Ro RNP is not known. Lineage: Eukaryota; Metazoa; Chordata; Mammalia; Primates; Indriidae. The record is from RNAcentral.